Molecule: ribosomal RNA, 251 nt
Filed under: uncultured prokaryote
Description: partial 16S rRNA
Rfam family: Bacterial small subunit ribosomal RNA
Source: RNAcentral
ACGUAGGGCGCGAGCGUUACUCGGAAUCACUGGGCAUAAAGGGCGUGUAGGCGGAUGCGUAAGUCCGGUGUGAAAUCCCCCGGCUCAACCGGGGAAAGCCAUCGGAUACUGCGUGUCUCGAGUGUGGGAGGGGAGAGUGGAACUCUUGGUGGAGCGGUGAAAUGCGUAGAUAUCAAGAGGAACGCCGGUGGCGAAAGCGACUCUCUGGCCCAUCACUGACGCUGAGGCGCGAAAGCCAGGGGAGCAAACGG